RNAcentral lists this long non-coding RNA (1015 nucleotides) under Capra hircus (goat). RNAcentral describes it as "lncRNA (ENSCHIG00000007160.1)". The record is from RNAcentral. Lineage: Eukaryota; Metazoa; Chordata; Mammalia; Artiodactyla; Bovidae.
GCAGGGUCUUGAACGCUGAGCCAGUGGACCGUUAGUGGUCCUACUUAGUCAUUGGUCAGCGCCGCGCUGGACCCGCCCACAAGCAACCGUCAAAGAGCCGCCAGUUAGCGAGUGCGUUGAGUCAACGGUGGGCCUGCGCAAAGUGGCGGUCUUCAUACAGAGAGCAAGGCAGAGAAGAAGGUUCAAAGGCCCAGAACUAGCAUGUGUGGCUGGAGUGUAACCUCUCUGGGGUACAAACAGGGCAAGAGAUGUGACAGAGAAGCCGACCAGGUCACAGAGUGCCCUCCUCACAGUCCAAAGGACAAUGCGCAGAGAUCCCAAGGCCUUUCUUAUAAGCCCUCUGGUAGAGGUUAUCCGAUUAUUGACAAAGUCUUCACAGCUCAUGAAAACUCCAAACAGCGUUAAAGACAAGAGGAAGAAAAUUCUUUAAUACGGUAUGUUCAAACCUCAGUGGAUUAGCUUGCUCCAGAUUUUCCAAACAGUUUCAGUUUGGAACAGUUUUUUUUUCAAUUGUUUAUUUGAACACUUAUUGCAGUUUUUUCAAUUUUUCAGUGUAUAAUAAAAGGCUUGCUCAGUGGUUAAUUUAGACAAGAAAGUGCUCAGGUUGAAGCAGGUAAACCUGUUUUAUAAAUGUGAAUUUGUAUGUAUCUGUUUUUACUGUUGGGUAAGAACAUGGAUUCUGGAGUCAAACUGCUUGUCUUCCAAAUAGGUUCUGCAGGAGAUGUUGUGCAAUAACUGAAUUUCUUUUGUUUCAGUUUCCUUGUCUGUGUAAACAUGGACGCUAAUGUGAACUAAAGUUGUAAGGAUUAAAUUAAUUAACGCAUUUAAAGAAUUUAGAAAUGCUCGGUUUAUAGGGUAUGGCUGAUAUAUAUUAGCCUCUAUUACAGGUGUAUGUGUGUGUAUAUGUAUGUUUAUAGACUAUGUUCAAGAAAUGGCAAUCUGCUCCAAUAUUCUUGGCUGGGAAAUCCCAUGGACAGAGGAGCCUGGUGGGCUACCAUUCAUGGGGUCGUCGAAG